Molecule: ribosomal RNA, 376 nt
Filed under: uncultured bacterium
Lineage: Bacteria
Description: bacterial SSU rRNA
Rfam family: Bacterial small subunit ribosomal RNA
Source: RNAcentral
UAAUACAGAGGUCUCAAGCGUUGUUCGGAUUCAUUGGGCGUAAAGGGUGUGUAGGUGGCGCGCUAAGUCGGGUGUGAAAUUUCGGAGCUUAACUCCGAAACUGCAUUUGAUACUGGCGUGCUUGAGGACUGGAGAGGAGACUGGAAUUUACGGUGUAGCAGUGAAAUGCGUAGAUAUCGUAAGGAAGACCAGUGGCGAAGGCGGGUCUCUGGACAGUUCCUGACACUGAGACACGAAGGCCAGGGGAGCAAACGGGAUUAGAUACCCCGGUAGUCCUGGCAGUAAACGGUGCACGUUUGGUGUGGGAGGAUUCGACCCCUUCUGCGCCGGAGCCAACGCGUUAAACGUGCCGCCUGGGGAGUACGGUCGCAAGAUU